AAAUGAAUUCCGCCAUCGACAGAUGUGCGUCUCCAUGUGCCAAUAGAUGGACUGUGCCGAUGGAAGGAUUGACAGACUGAUGGAGGAAGAGGAGGAGGGAGAGAAGAAGAGGGAUGACAUCAUACGGUCCUCCUGAUGAGUCCGGAAGCCAUCAUCAACUACAGACUGUGCCCAAUUCUGGAUUUCCAAUCCAACAGGCCCUGCGAUGCAAACAGCAGACAAGAGCAUCAAUAUUUACAGUCUGCAGAAUGGGCCAAAGCCUGAAGGCAUAGAGGAGUUUCUCAUCACUCUCUUACUGUCUCAUCAUCAAUUUGACUGGCAAGCCUGAGGACACAAGACGGCUUGACGUAGGUACUGGCAGGACGUACAUAACCGAAGGGUGAGUCGGAAACACGUCCGUGAGGGGCAAACAAACCCUGAAACCUAUCAGACUCCAAAGCAGAUGGUCGCAGGCUUCCUGAUUCAUUUACACACACAUUUCAGAUUCAACUACAGCCCUGCGAUGGACUGGUGACCUGUCCAGGGUGAACCCCGGCCUCUCGCCUGAAAAUGAGCUGGGAUAGGCUCCAGCAGACCCCCGUGACCCUGCAAAGGAUAAAGC
This is a long non-coding RNA of Cololabis saira (Pacific saury), 601 nucleotides long. RefSeq lists it as uncharacterized. The record is from RefSeq and is a predicted model, not a curated record. The transcript has 5 exons. NCBI's taxonomy places the organism in Eukaryota, Metazoa, Chordata, Actinopteri, Beloniformes, Belonidae.